RNAcentral lists this ribosomal RNA (490 nucleotides) under uncultured bacterium. Its description in RNAcentral is "bacterial SSU rRNA". It matches the Rfam family "Bacterial small subunit ribosomal RNA", at positions 30 to 511 of the family's 1533-position model. The record is from RNAcentral.
AUUGAACGCUGGCGGCAUGCCUUACACAUGCAAGUCGAACGGCAGCACGGGUGCUUGCACCUGGUGGCGAGUGGCGAACGGGUGAGUAAUAUAUCGGAACGUGCCCUAGAGUGGGGGAUAACUAGUCGAAAGAUUAGCUAAUACCGCAUACGAUCUACGGAUGAAAGUGGGGGAUCGCAAGACCUCAUGCUCCUGGAGCGGCCGAUAUCAGAUUAGGUAGUUGGUGGGGUAAAGGCUCACCAAGCCAACGAUCUGUAGCUGGUCUGAGAGGACGACCAGCCACACUGGAACUGAGACACGGUCCAGACUCCUACGGGAGGCAGCAGUGGGGAAUUUUGGACAAUGGACGCAAGUCUGAUCCAGCCAUUCCGCGUGCAGGAUGAAGGCCCUCGGGUUGUAAACUGCUUUUGUACGGAACGAAAAGGUUUCUAUUAAUACUAGGAGCUCAUGACGGUACCGUAAGAAUAAGCACCGGCUAACUACGUGCCAG